Molecule: ribosomal RNA, 1216 nt
Filed under: uncultured Rhizaria
Lineage: Eukaryota
Description: SSU rRNA
Rfam family: Eukaryotic small subunit ribosomal RNA
Source: RNAcentral
CGGUAAUUCCAGCUCCAAUAGCGUAUACUAAAGUUGUUGCAGUUAAAAAGCUCGUAGUUGGAUUUCUGCGGGGACGGAGCGGCCGGACGCAACUUACGUCUCGAGCUAGCGCUCUCCCCACAUCCUGCCGCGAACCGUGCUACCAUUAGUUUGGUGGCGCUGGGGAUCGGCUCGAUUACUUUGAGAAAAAUAGAGUGUUCAAAGCAGGCCACACGCCUUGAAUAAGUUAGCAUGGAAUAAUGACUAAGGACUUUGGUUCUUUUCGUUGGUGUUCGGGACUGAAGUAAUGAUUGAUAGGGACAGUUGGGGCGGUCCGUAUUCCAAAGCGAGAGGUGAAAUUCUUAGACCUUCGGAAGACGAACAGCUGCGAAAGCGUUCCGCAAGGAUGUUCCCUUUGAUCAAGAACGAAAGUUGGGGGAUCGAAGACGAUCAGAUACCGUCGUAGUCUCAACUAUAAACUAUACCAGCUAGGGAUCGGCCAACGUUUAAUUAUUCGACUUGGUCGGCACCUUAUGAGAAAUCAAAGCAUCUGGGUUCCGGGGGGGGUAUGGUCGCAAGGCUGAAACUUAAAGGAAUUGACGGAAGGGCACCACCAGGCGUGGAGCCUGUGGCUUAAUUUGACUCAACACGGGAAAACUUACCAGGUCCAGACAUAGGAAGGAUUGACAGAUUGAUAGCUCUUUCUUGAUUCUGUGGGUGGUGGUGCAUGGCCGCUUUUAGUCGGUGAAGUGAUUUGUCUGCUUAAUUGCGUUAACGGACGAGACCCCAGCCUGCUAAAUAGCGCGGCCGAGCUUUGCUCGGUGCGAGCUUCUUAGAGGGACCAUGAUGCGCGAUAGCACAAGGAAGUUUGAGGCAACAACAGGUCUGUGAUGCCCUUAGAUGUUCUGGGCCGCACACGGGCUACACUGGCGCCUGCAACGAGCAUAUCAGCUGGCCCGAGAGGGUCUUGGCUAAUCCUUGGAACCGGCGCCGUGCUUGGGAUUGACCAUUGCAAUUGUUGGUCAUGCAACGAGGAAUGCCUUGUAAACGCGAGUCAUCAGCUCGCAUUGAAUACGUCCCUGCCCUUUGUACACACCGCCCGUCGCUCCUACCGAUGAAUGUUCCGAUGAAAUUUUCGGAGAGCGCCGGAGAACGGGGCUCUGCCCUGCAGAACUGGAGGCUCAAAGUCACUUAAAUCUGAACAUUUCGAGGAAGGAGAAGUCGUAACAAGGUAACC